This 245-nucleotide unclassified non-coding RNA is filed under the name Ceriporiopsis sp. Its description in RNAcentral is "partial contains 5.8S ribosomal RNA, internal transcribed spacer 2, and large subunit ribosomal RNA". Lineage: Eukaryota; Fungi; Basidiomycota; Agaricomycetes; Polyporales; Meruliaceae. The record is from RNAcentral. RNAcentral also lists the same sequence under 2 other names.
AACGCACAUUGCGCCCUUCGGUAUUCCGUUGGGCAUGCCUGUUCGAGCGUCAUUUAAACCUUCAAGCUAUGCUUGGUGUUGGGUCUUGUUCGCGUCUUUGUGCGUGGACUGGCCUUAAAUUCAUUGGCAGCCGGUAUGUUGGUUUCGUGCGCAGCACAUUGCGUUUUGAUUCCAGCCUGCCCCCUUCCAUUAAGCCUCUUUUUUACUUUGACCUCGGAUCAGGUAGGGAUACCCGCUGAACUUAA